This 440-nucleotide ribosomal RNA is filed under the name uncultured bacterium. Its description in RNAcentral is "partial 16S ribosomal RNA". It matches the Rfam family "Bacterial small subunit ribosomal RNA", at positions 338 to 795 of the family's 1533-position model. The record is from RNAcentral.
CCUACGGGAGGCAGCAGUGGGGGAUAUUGCACAAUGGGGGGAACCCUGAUGCAGCGACACCGCGUGGGUGAAGAAGCGCCUCGGCGCGUAAAGCCCUGUCAGCAGGGAAGAAAAUGACGGUACCUGAAGAAGAAGCCCCGGCGAACUACGUGCCAGCAGCCGCGGUAAUACGUAGGGGGCAAGCGUUAUCCGGAUUUACUGGGUGUAAAGGGGGCGCAGACGGCGAUGCAAGCCAGGAGUGAAAGCCCGGGGCCCAACCCCGGGACUGCUGUUGGAACUGGGUGGCUGGAGUGCAGUAGGGGCAGGCGGAAUUCCUGGUGUAGCGGUGAAAUGCGUAGAUAUCAGGAGGAACACCGGUUGCGAAGGCGGCCUGCUGGACUGCAACUGACGUUGAGGCCCGAAAGCGUGGGGAGCGAACAGGAUUAGAUACCCUUGUAGUC